AACUGGAGGAAGGUGGGGAUGACGUCAAGUCAUCAUGGCCCUUACGACCAGGGCUACACACGUGCUACAAUGGCGCAUACAAAGAGAAGCGACCUCGCGAGAGCAAGCGGACCUCAUAAAGUGCGUCGUAGUCCGGAUUGGAGUCUGCAACUCGACUCCAUGAAGUCGGAAUCGCUAGUAAUCGUAGAUCAGAAUGCUACGGUGAAUACGUUCCCGGGCCUUGUACACACCGCCCGUCACACCAUGGGAGUGGGUUGCAAAAGAAGUAGGUAGCUUAACCUUCGGGAGGGCGCUUACCACUUUGUGAUUCAUGACUGGGGUGAAGUCGUAACAAGGUAACCGUAGGGGAACCUGCGGUUGGAUCACCUCCUUACCUUAAAGAA
This 383-nucleotide ribosomal RNA is filed under the name Klebsiella quasipneumoniae subsp. similipneumoniae. RNAcentral describes it as "bacterial SSU rRNA". It matches the Rfam family "Bacterial small subunit ribosomal RNA", at positions 1161 to 1533 of the family's 1533-position model. The record is from RNAcentral. Lineage: Bacteria; Pseudomonadati; Pseudomonadota; Gammaproteobacteria; Enterobacterales; Enterobacteriaceae.